CCUACGGGGGACAGCAGUGAGGAAUAUUGGUCAAUGGGCUUACGCCUGAACCAGCCAAGUCGCGUGAGGGAAGACUGCCCUAUGGGUUGUAAACCUCUUUUGUCAGGGAGCAACGCCGGCUACGUGUAGCCGGACUGAGAGUACCUGAAGAAAAAGCAUCGGCUAACUCCGUGCCAGCAGCCGCGGUAAUACGGAGGAUGCGAGCGUUAUCCGGAUUUAUUGGGUUUAAAGGGUGCGUAGGCGGAAUGCCAAGUCAGCGGUAAAAUCGCGGGGCUCAACCUCGCUCCGCCGUUGAAACUGGCGGUCUUGAGUGGGCGAGAAGUAGGCGGAAUGCGUGGUGUAGCGGUGAAAUGCAUAGAUAUCACGCAGAACUCCGAUUGCGAAGGCAGCAUACCGGCGCCCAACUGACGCUGAAGCACGAAAGCGUGGGUAUCGAACAGGAUUAGAUACCCCAGUAGUC
This 460-nucleotide ribosomal RNA is filed under the name uncultured bacterium. RNAcentral's name for it is "partial 16S ribosomal RNA". It matches the Rfam family "Bacterial small subunit ribosomal RNA", at positions 338 to 795 of the family's 1533-position model. The record is from RNAcentral.